GAGUCUCGCCGAUCGAGUGGGGACGCACAUGAAAAAUGCGGGUCCACAGUGGCCCAACGCGUAACUUAGAUUUACUUAGUAUGAAACCCGGGGAAAAAAAAACUACAAGAUUCAAUACCAAAGGGCAAGUUGUUUAUGAUGGAAAAUGGGAAAGAUUGUCAAGCUAUAUGGAAACAUUGGUGCGAUCUCAACACAAUGUGCCCAUCCAAGUUCAAGAUUGGAAUCAUGUUAGUGAAGAUGUAAAGGAAAAGAUUUGGGCCUUAGUAUUGGUAUAUGCUAGUUAUUAUUCAAUCUAAAUUGUAAUGUUAUUGUUUAAAAAUGAUACCUCUUAUUUAUACAUGACAUUUUAAUGCAAUACAAGAAAAAUAUGAACUAGAAGAAACAUGUAAGAGCUACAUUCUUCAAUGUUGUGGAAAUUUGUUUAGAAGCUAUAGAAAUAAAAUGAAGGCCAAGUAUUAUAACCCUUAUAAUACAGAUGAGGAGAGAUUGUGUCAUCGACCUCCACACUUAUCAGAUGAUGAUUGGAGGUGGCUCAUCCACUUUUGGGGUACACCUGAAGCCAAGGAUAUCUCAUAAAAAAACAAGGCAAAUAGGGCAAAGCAAGUGAUAAAGCAUACAUCGGGAUCAAAAAGUUAUGCUCAAAUUCGAUAUGAAUAGACACAAAAGAAGGAGGAUCGAAGUGAGCCUAAUAGAAUUGAGAUGUUUGCCCUAACACACACAAGAAAAGAUGGGACGCCUGUUGAUGAUCAUUCUAAGGAGAUUAUGGAUUAAUUUCAGCAAUUACUAUCCCAACCUGAGGGGACAUCUUCUUCUACUUCUGCAUCAUCUGGAGCAUCUACAUCUGUAGCAUCUACAUAUGUAGAUGAGAUAUAUACUCAAGUCAUGGGUCUAGAGAGACAUGGUCGUGUUCGAGGGUAUGGAUUUGGUCCUACUCCUACCUCAAUCUUUGGUUCUACUAGUAGAAGGCGAUCAGGAGUUAUUCUUUCAACACAAAUUGAAAACGCCCAAGAGAUGCUAAUAGCUGCAGAACAAAAGUUUACAACUGCAACUGAAGAACUCUCAAAUGUGAAAGAGAAACUCUCACAUGUGAAAGAAACAUUUGAAGAGAGGUUGAUAGAAGUUCAAA
Long non-coding RNA from Vitis riparia (riverbank grape), 1126 nucleotides. RefSeq lists it as uncharacterized. The transcript has 4 exons. Lineage: Eukaryota; Viridiplantae; Streptophyta; Magnoliopsida; Vitales; Vitaceae. The record is from RefSeq and is a predicted model, not a curated record.